AUUUGAGUGAAUAUGAGUUGUGGGAUUUCAACGGAGAACAAAAAUGGGAAUAUGGACAGAGUGGAAGAGUCAGGAUCUGUUUACUCUCCUAGCAUGAACUUCACGUUAUAACGUUAUCCUGGCGAUAUCAGAGAGAUGCUCAUCAAGGCAAGGUGAUGAUUGCCAGAGGGAAAACAAAGAACCUGUAGUUGUGCAUCACCUGUGUGAUCAUGAUAAGGCUGAAGAACCAGAAGUGACAAGAUAUCACCGGCUGCUGGGGUGCAGCAUUAAACCCAUGGACAGUCUCCUGCCACAAGAUCUUAGGAGCCAGAGCAGAUCCAGACAAUUACUGCCCAUUUGGAGGAAGUCUGAUCUUUCUGCUGUGUUGCACAUCUGUUACAGAUUAAUUGACCUUUUGUGGUAUGUUUUAAUUUUACUUAAAAUACACUGUAUAGUUAGGAUUCUUAAAUGUUAUCAGAACUACCUUAUACAGAGCCCCCAAGGGUUAAGAGAAUGAAGAAGAAGAAGACCACAACUCCCUCAGCUCAACAGCACAAUUUGUUGCUUCCUCCAUCCAUUUCAAAGGGGAAAUAUUGACCUAAUUUUGAUAGAAAAUCUUACAGACACACAUGUUACACACAUGGAGAACUACCAUUUUUAGUUUUUCAGUUCCUCCUGGGGGGCUCUAAAGAACUGUUUGUGAA
Long non-coding RNA from Esox lucius (northern pike), 683 nucleotides. NCBI's taxonomy places the organism in Eukaryota, Metazoa, Chordata, Actinopteri, Esociformes, Esocidae. The record is from Ensembl.